This 2529-nucleotide long non-coding RNA is filed under the name Gallus gallus (chicken). RNAcentral describes it as "lncRNA (ENSGALG00010001439.1)". Lineage: Eukaryota; Metazoa; Chordata; Aves; Galliformes; Phasianidae. The record is from RNAcentral.
UUUUCUCUUUGAGAAUCCCCCAUUUUAGCAAAAAUCCUGCGCUUCCUCUUCGCAAAUCCCACAUUUAAGCGAAAAUCAUGUGCUUUCUCUUCGAAAAUCCCCCAUUUAACCCGAAAAUCACGCGUUUUCUCUUUGAGAAUCCCCCAUUUAACCCGAAAAUCACGCGUUUUCUCUUUGCAAAUCCCCCAUUUAAGUGAAAAUCCCACGUAUCCUCUUCGCAAAUUCUUCAUUUAAGCAAAAAUCAGGUGGUUUCUCUUCGGAGAAUCCCAAAUUUAAGUGAAAAUCACGUUUUCUCUUUGGAAAUCCGCCAUAUAAGCAAAAAUCAUGCAUUUUCAAUUCGGAAAUUCCCCAUUUAACCCGAAAAUCACGCGUUUUCUCUUUGAGAAUCCCCCAUUUAAGAGAAAAUCAAGCGAUUUCUCUUUGAGAAUCACCCAUUUAACCCAAAAAUCACACGUUUUCUCUUCGAGAAUCCGCGAUUUAACUGAAAAUCACGCGUUUUCUCUUCGAGAAUCCCCCAUUUAACCCGAAAAUCACGCGUUUUUUUCUUUGAGAAUCCCCCAUUUAAUCGAAAACAAUGCGUUUUCUCUUCAACUAUCCCUUAUUUAACCCGAAAAUCAUGCGUUUUCUCUUCGCAAAUCCCCCAUUUAAGUGAAAAUCACGCAUUUUCUCUUCGGAAAUACGCCAUUUAAGCGAAAAUCACAUGUUUUCUCUUCGGAAAUCCGCCAUUUAAGCGAAAAUCACGCAUUUUCUCUUUGAGAAUCCCCCAUUUAAGCGAAAAUCACGCGUUUUUUUUCUUCAAGAAUCCCUCAAUUAACCUGAAAAUCACACGUUUUCUCUUUGAGAAUCCCCCAUUUAAGCGAAAAUCACGCAUUUUCUCUUUGAGAAUCCCCGAUUUAACCCGAAAAUCAUGCAUUUUCUCUUCGGAAAUCCCCCAUUUAACCCGAAAAUCCCCCAUUUAAGUGAAAAUCAUGCGUUUUCUCUUCGAGAAUCCCACAUUUAACCUGAAAAUCACGCGUUUUCUCUUCGAGAAACCCCUAUUAACCUGAAAAUCACACGUUUUCUAUUCGGAAAUCUAUUGUUUAACCCGAAAAUCAUGCGAUUUCUCAUUAAGAAGCUCCCAUUUAAGCGAAAAUCAUGUGCUUUCUCCUCGAGACUCCCCCAUUUAACCCGAAAAUUACGCGUUUUCUCUUUGAGAAUCUCCGAUUUUACCCGAGAAUCACGCGUUUUCUCUUCGGGAAUCCCUCAUUUAACCCCAAAAUCACGCAUUUUGUCUUCGGAAAUCCCCCAUUUAACCCGCAAAUCACGUGUUUUCUCUUCGAAAAUCUGCCAUUUAAGCAAAAAUCACGCGUUUUCUCUUCGAGAAUCCUCCAUUUAUGCGAAAAUCACGCUGUUUCUCAUCGCAAAUUUCCCAUUUAAGCGAAAAUCACGUGUUUUCUAUUCUAAAAUCUCGCAUUUAAGCGAAAAUCACAUGCUUUGUCUUCCGAAAUCCCGUUUAACCUUAAAAUCAUGUGGUUUCUCUUCGAGAAUCCCCCAUUUAAUCCACAAAUCGCGUGUUUUCUCUUCGACAAUCCCCCAUUUAAGCCGAAAAUCACACGUUUCCUCUUCGGAAAUCCACCAUUUAAGGGAAAAUCGCAUGUUUUCUCUUCGACAAUUCCCCCAUUAACCCGAAAAUCACGCGUUUUCUCUUUGAGAAUCCCCCAUUUAACCCGAAAAUCACACGUUUUCUCUUCGAGAAUCUCCCAUUUAGGAGAAAAUCAUGCUUUUUCUCUUUGAUAAUCACCCAUUUAACUUGAAAAUCACGCGUUUUCUCUUCGGAAACCCCCCAUUUAACCCAAAAAACACGCAUUUUCUCUUCGAGAAUCCCCCAUUUAGACCAAAAAUCACGCAUAUUCUGUUUGAGAAUCCCCCAUUUAAGAGAAAAUCAUGCGUUUUUUUCUUUGAGAAUCCCCCACUUAAGCUGAAAAUCACGCGGUUUCUCUUCGGAAAUCCCCCAUUUAAGCGAAAAUCCCGCGCUUCCUCUUCGCAAAUCCUUCAUUCAAGCGAAAAUCAGGUGGUUUCUCUUCGACAAUCCCCCAUUAAACCCAAAAAUCACGCGUUUUCUCAUCAAGAAUCUCCCAUUUAAGAGAAAAUCAUGCUUUUUCUCUUUGAUAAUCACCCAUUUAAGAGAAAAUCACGCGGUUUCUACUUGGAAAUCCGCCAUUUAAGAAAAAAUCACGCGUUUUUUUCUUCGGAAAUUCCCCAUUUAAGCAAAAAUCACGCGUUUUCUCUUCGACAAUCCCCCAUUUAACCAAAAAAUCACGCAUUUUCUCUUCACAAAUCCCCCAUUUAAACCGAAAAUCACGCGUUUUCUCUUCGAGAAUCCCCCAUUUUAGUGAAAAUCACGCGUUUUCUCUUCAAGAAUCCCCCAUUUAACCCGAAAAUCACGCGCUUUCUCUUCAAGAAUCCCCCAUUAAACAAAAAAUCACGCGUUUUCUCUUCGAGAAUCCCGUUUAUCUCAAAAAUGACGCAUUUUUUUCUUCUAAAAUCCCC